This 1113-nucleotide ribosomal RNA is filed under the name Oerskovia sp. RNAcentral describes it as "bacterial SSU rRNA". It matches the Rfam family "Bacterial small subunit ribosomal RNA", at positions 64 to 1191 of the family's 1533-position model. Lineage: Bacteria; Bacillati; Actinomycetota; Actinomycetes; Micrococcales; Cellulomonadaceae. The record is from RNAcentral.
GAACGGUGAUGACCAGCUUGCUGGUCGGAUCAGUGGCGAACGGGUGAGUAACACGUGAGUAACCUGCCCCAGACUCUGGGAUAAGCCUUGGAAACGAGGUCUAAUACUGGAUAUGAGAUGCCCCUGCAUGGGGAGUGUCUGGAAAGAUUUAUCGGUCUGGGAUGGACUCGCGGCCUAUCAGCUUGUUGGUGGGGUAAUGGCCUACCAAGGCGACGACGGGUAGCCGGCCUGAGAGGGCGACCGGCCACACUGGGACUGAGACACGGCCCAGACUCCUACGGGAGGCAGCAGUGGGGAAUAUUGCACAAUGGGCGCAAGCCUGAUGCAGCGACGCCGCGUGAGGGAUGAAGGCCUUCGGGUUGUAAACCUCUUUCAGCAGGGAAGAAGCGCAAGUGACGGUACCUGCAGAAGAAGCGCCGGCUAACUACGUGCCAGCAGCCGCGGUAAUACGUAGGGCGCAAGCGUUGUCCGGAAUUAUUGGGCGUAAAGAGCUCGUAGGCGGUUUGUCGCGUCUGGUGUGAAAACUCAAGGCUCAACCUUGAGCUUGCAUCGGGUACGGGCAGACUAGAGUGCGGUAGGGGUGACUGGAAUUCCUGGUGUAGCGGUGGAAUGCGCAGAUAUCAGGAGGAACACCGAUGGCGAAGGCAGGUCACUGGGCCGCAACUGACGCUGAGGAGCGAAAGCAUGGGGAGCGAACAGGAUUAGAUACCCUGGUAGUCCAUGCCGUAAACGUUGGGCACUAGGUGUGGGGCUCAUUCCACGAGUUCCGUGCCGCAGCAAACGCAUUAAGUGCCCCGCCUGGGGAGUACGGCCGCAAGGCUAAAACUCAAAGGAAUUGACGGGGGCCCGCACAAGCGGCGGAGCAUGCGGAUUAAUUCGAUGCAACGCGAAGAACCUUACCAAGGCUUGACAUACACCGGAAACUUCCAGAGAUGGUUGCCCCGCAAGGUCGGUGUACAGGUGGUGCAUGGUUGUCGUCAGCUCGUGUCGUGAGAUGUUGGGUUAAGUCCCGCAACGAGCGCAACCCUCGUCUUAUGUUGCCAGCACGUCAUGGUGGGGACUCAUAAGAGACUGCCGGGGUCACUCGGAGGAAGGUGGGGAUGACGUCAAAUC